UACGUAGGGGGCAAGCGUUGUCCGGAGUUACUGGGCGUAAAGCGCCCGCAGGCGGUCUUCUAAGUUCAGACUGACAAUCCCCAGCUUAACUGGGGAGGGUGUAUGAACACUGGGAGACUUGAGGCAUAGAGAGGGACAGGGAAUUCCGGGUGGAGUGGUGAAAUGCGUAGAUAUCCGGAGGAACACCAAAGGCGAAGGCACUGUCCUGGCUAUGACCUGACGCUCAGGGGCGAAAGCUAGGGGAGCGAACGGG
Molecule: ribosomal RNA, 253 nt
Filed under: uncultured bacterium
Lineage: Bacteria
Description: partial 16S ribosomal RNA
Rfam family: Bacterial small subunit ribosomal RNA
Source: RNAcentral